AUCUGAUGAAUAAUAAUGAUAUACUAAAAUUACAAUAAUCUAGGGCAGUUAUAACUGCCUCUCUUGAAAAGGCCUCAAAACUUCUGGAAUGCUUCUCAUAUU
This is a long non-coding RNA of Octopus sinensis (East Asian common octopus), 102 nucleotides long. RefSeq lists it as uncharacterized. NCBI's taxonomy places the organism in Eukaryota, Metazoa, Mollusca, Cephalopoda, Octopoda, Octopodidae. The record is from RefSeq and is a predicted model, not a curated record. The transcript is spliced from 3 exons.